Molecule: transfer RNA, 73 nt
Filed under: Candidatus Wolfebacteria bacterium
Lineage: Bacteria; Candidatus Wolfeibacteriota
Description: tRNA-Val
Rfam family: tRNA
About the family: Transfer RNA (tRNA) molecules are approximately 80 nucleotides in length.
Source: RNAcentral
GGGCGUGUAGUUCAGUGGUAGANNUACAUUGACAUUGUAGAGGUCUCCAGUUCGAAUCUGGACAGGCCCACCU